AUGCACGCUGGCGGCGUGCCUCAUCCCUGCAAGUCGAGCGCACAGACGAGGAGCUUGCUCCUCUGACGUUAGCGGCGGACGGGUGAGUAACACGUGGAUAACCUACCUAUAAGACUGGGAUAACUUCGGGAAACCGGAGCUAAUACCGGAUAAUAUAUUGAACCGCAUGGUUCAAUAGUGAAAGACGGUUUUGCUGUCACUUAUAGAUGGAUCCUCGCCGCAUUAGCUAGUUGGUAAGGUAACGGCUUACCAAGGCGACGAUGCGUAGCCGACCUGAGAGGGUGAUCGGCCACACUGGAACUGAGACACGGUCCAGACUCCUACGGGAGGCAGCAGUAGGGAAUCUUCCGCAAUGGGCGAAAGCCUGACGGAGCAACGCCGCGUGAGUGAUGAAGGUCUUCGGAUCGUAAAACUCUGUUAUUAGGGAAGAACAAAUGUGUAAGUAACUAUGCACGUCUUGACGGUACCUAAUCAGAAAGCCACGGCUAACUACGUG
RNAcentral lists this ribosomal RNA (496 nucleotides) under uncultured bacterium. RNAcentral describes it as "partial 16S ribosomal RNA". It matches the Rfam family "Bacterial small subunit ribosomal RNA", at positions 29 to 507 of the family's 1533-position model. The record is from RNAcentral.